Molecule: non-coding RNA, 173 nt
Filed under: Paraburkholderia tropica
Lineage: Bacteria; Pseudomonadati; Pseudomonadota; Betaproteobacteria; Burkholderiales; Burkholderiaceae
Description: FMN
Rfam family: FMN riboswitch aptamer (RFN element)
About the family: The RFN element is a highly conserved domain that is found frequently in the 5'-untranslated regions of prokaryotic mRNAs that encode for flavin mononucleotide (FMN) biosynthesis and transport proteins. This element is a metabolite-dependent riboswitch that directly binds FMN in the absence of proteins.
Source: RNAcentral
GUGCGUCUUCAGGGCGGGGUGCAAUUCCCCACCGGCGGUAUGCCGGCCGCGCCGCAAGGCCAGCCAGCGAGCCCGCGAGCGCCUGCGCGCGUUGUUUUUUCCCGCGCGCAGGGUCAGCAGAUCUGGUGCGAAGCCAGAGCCGACGGUCAUAGUCCGGAUGAGAGAAGAUGUGC